RNAcentral lists this ribosomal RNA (497 nucleotides) under uncultured bacterium. RNAcentral describes it as "partial 16S ribosomal RNA". It matches the Rfam family "Bacterial small subunit ribosomal RNA", at positions 28 to 507 of the family's 1533-position model. The record is from RNAcentral.
GAUGAACGCUGGCGGCGUGCCUAAUACAUGCAAGUCGAGCGAACAGAGGAAGAUGUUUCCCCUCUUACAGUGGCGGCCGAACGGGUGGGAACCCCUGGAAAACCUUCCUAUAAGGCUGGGGUUAACACGUGAAACCGGAGGUUAUUCCCGAUUAUAUCUUAAUCCCCCUUGAUCAAUAGUUAAAGACGGCUUUGCCGUCACUUAUAGAUGGAUCCGCGCUGCAUUAGCUAGUUGGUAAGGUAAAGGCUUACCAAGACAACGAUGCAUAGCCGACUUGAGAGACUGAUCGGCCACACUGGAACUGAGACACGGCCCAGACUCCUACGGGAGGCAGCAGUAGGGAAUCUUCCGCAAUGGGCGAAAGCCUGAUGGAGCAACGCCGCGUGAGUGAUGAAGGCUUUCGGAUCGUAAAGCACUGUUAUAAGGGAAGAACAGCUGUGAAAGUAAAUGAGCACAGCUUGACGGUACCAAAUCAGAAAGCGACGGCUAAAUACGUG